This 230-nucleotide long non-coding RNA is filed under the name Jatropha curcas. RNAcentral's name for it is "long non-coding RNA (JCUR_LNC000433)". The record is from RNAcentral. Lineage: Eukaryota; Viridiplantae; Streptophyta; Magnoliopsida; Malpighiales; Euphorbiaceae.
AUAUGAUGGGUUUAUUAUUUGUGCCGAAUAACCUAUGAAAAUGUAACUAUUUUAGUCAUAUAAUUUGGUAUUUUUGAUGGGUUUGUUGGUCUAUGUGAUUAAAUAGAUGCAGGUAUUAGUUGACUCUAUUUAUUUGCCUUUUUGGGAUAAAAUCACUAAGUCAAAGGAUGAGGAGCUGCUGGAUUCUUUUUGGAAGAUUUAUUCAAAGGUUUUGAAGAAUAGAGAGNNNN